Molecule: transfer RNA, 37 nt
Filed under: Moniliophthora perniciosa FA553
Lineage: Eukaryota; Fungi; Basidiomycota; Agaricomycetes; Agaricales; Marasmiaceae
Description: tRNA-Thr
Source: RNAcentral
GUACAAGUGCAACGCUCUACCACUAAGCUAAACCGGC